CGGUCCGACGCAUUUGCUUCCCGCCCGAAGGACGCCGCAACCGGUUGGGACACGGCCUUAAGGGCGAGAGACGGCAGGUGGCCGGCGGUCGCUCCUCGCGAGCGUCAGCCGGUUGUUAGCCAUCUCGCCGCACGGCACGAGUCCCGACCGUGGAAAGAAAGAGGCCCUCUUUGGGCUUCGACGUCUCCUCCUCAGGUGGCGGGUGAAGAAGCGCUGGCAGGAGCUGGAUUGUCUGCGGGCGCACGGACCGACUCCGUGGCCCAGCGUUCCGUCCUCUUCGUUGGCCGCGCAAGGCCCGUGGGAGUGCACGACGGUUGGCGGCGAGUAGAUCGGUAACCCACCCGACCCGUCUUGAAACACGGACCAAGGAGUCUAACAUGUGUGCGAGUCAAUGGGUCUUGAAUAAGCCCAGAGGCGCAAUGAAAGCGAAGGCCGGAGGACUCCGGCCGUGUUGGGAUCCCGGCUCCUCUCGCGGGCCGGGCGCACCAACGACCCGUUCUGUUCCACUUGUGGAUUGGGCGGAGUCUGAGCAUACACGUUUUGUCCCGAAAGAUGGUGAACUAUGCCCGGGCAGGACGAGGCCAGAGGAAACUCUGGUGGAGGUCCGUAGCGGUUCUGACGUGCAAAUCGAUCGUCAGAUCCGGGUCUAGCGGCGAAAGACCAAUCGAACCAUCUA
Molecule: ribosomal RNA, 676 nt
Filed under: Juanfernandezia melanocephala
Lineage: Eukaryota; Metazoa; Arthropoda; Arachnida; Araneae; Linyphiidae
Description: partial large subunit ribosomal RNA
Rfam family: Eukaryotic large subunit ribosomal RNA
Source: RNAcentral